GCCAUUUGUUCAUCUCUGGGUGUGUCCAGCACCCCCCCCCCCCCGCCCAAGGUGAAGCGGCGAUCAGAGGGACCGUUUCGGAAGCAAGUCUUCUAGCGGUGAAAGUGAGGGGACGCACGGCGAACCACAACUACGGCGAGCUGGUGGAGGCGGCGGCGGCGGCGGCUCCUGUCCUGUUUUGGGGUUUAAGACACAGCGCAGUGACAUAGCGGGACCGGUCCAUGGAUCUGUAAAUACACUCAUUAAGUGUGGCUAACUGGCCAAAGUAGUGCAUGUCCCCUCCGUGCUGUGAGAAGAGCCAGCCACGAGAUGGAUUCAUAUGCUUGUCGAUGGGCCAAGGAACCAUCUCCACGAAGCCCUCCUGGCUGUAGCUGUGCAACAGGCGGUCGAGGUCUGGGCCACAGCUGGUGUUAUAGAUCACCACUCUGUCCACACCCACCAACCUGGGGCAAGGAUAAUUGUCCUCCUCUUCCUCAGAUUUCUGCUUUGCCUGAGCUCACGUACACAUAUAACAAAAUGCAAAAAAAAGAUUUGCAUUCUCCCAUGGUAUCAUCAUGCCUCCACACAAACAUAUACAGUAGCAAUAAAAAGCAUGUGAACCUUUUGGAAUUUCAUGGUUUUCUGCAUUAAUUUGUCAUAAAAUGUGAUGUGAUCUUCAUCUAAGUCAAGGGUAUUGACAAAUAUUAUGUGCCUAAAAUAAUAACACACAAAAAAAAUCUGAUCUUUCAUGUCUGCUCCAAAAGCAAACAAAUAACUAAGGGAAAACCAAAGUUGUCUGAAGCUCGUAAUCAUUGAAAGAAUUUUUGACAUUUUGAAAAAUAUACUUAUUUGAGUUCCUGCUGAGAAUUAGCUGAGAAGACUGAUGCCACUCUCAUAUCUCUGUGGUACAUACUGUGAUUUUAUGGGGGCUUUUGUGCUGGAGAAGCUUCAUUGUUUUUACACAUAGGUUUUGUAUGGAUAAAAUGAGAAAGAUAAUAGAUAUUAAUUAGUGAGUUGUAAAAAUGUUCUCAGGUGAUUUAUUUCUUUUAUGUAUACUGUAUUUGUCUUGUAAAGAGCUCAGCCUUUCAUCUUCAAGGUAUGUACACUGAAACACAGUGUUCCGGUCAAACUAGUUGGUCUGCUUUGACAUCAUUUUACUGUUCAACCAUAAACUGUAUGUGUUCAACAUCUGAACAUGAGGUCCAUUAUGCUAACAGUAAGGGACACAUGCAAUAAACUGUAUUGUUACAAAGGUUUACAAUAGCUGCUUUUCAUUUCUGACACAGUGGAUUGUGGUGUUGUUGCUGUGCUCACCUGUA
This is a long non-coding RNA of Toxotes jaculatrix (banded archerfish), 1298 nucleotides long. RefSeq lists it as uncharacterized. The transcript is spliced from 3 exons. NCBI's taxonomy places the organism in Eukaryota, Metazoa, Chordata, Actinopteri, Toxotidae. The record is from RefSeq and is a predicted model, not a curated record.